Molecule: ribosomal RNA, 2902 nt
Filed under: Escherichia coli
Lineage: Bacteria; Pseudomonadati; Pseudomonadota; Gammaproteobacteria; Enterobacterales; Enterobacteriaceae
Description: bacterial LSU rRNA
Rfam family: Bacterial large subunit ribosomal RNA
Source: RNAcentral
UUAAGCGACUAAGCGUACACGGUGGAUGCCCUGGCAGUCAGAGGCGAUGAAGGACGUGCUAAUCUGCGAUAAGCGUCGGUAAGGUGAUAUGAACCGUUAUAACCGGCGAUUUCCGAAUGGGGAAACCCAGUGUGUUUCGACACACUAUCAUUAACUGAAUCCAUAGGUUAAUGAGGCGAACCGGGGGAACUGAAACAUCUAAGUACCCCGAGGAAAAGAAAUCAACCGAGAUUCCCCCAGUAGCGGCGAGCGAACGGGGAGGAGCCCAGAGCCUGAAUCAGUGUGUGUGUUAGUGGAAGCGUCUGGAAAGGCACGCGAUACAGGGUGACAGCCCCGUACACAAAAAUGCACAUGCUGUGAGCUCGAUGAGUAGGGCGGGACACGUGGUAUCCUGUCUGAAUAUGGGGGGACCAUCCUCCAAGGCUAAAUACUCCUGACUGACCGAUAGUGAACCAGUACCGUGAGGGAAAGGCGAAAAGAACCCCGGCGAGGGGAGUGAAAAAGAACCUGAAACCGUGUACGUACAAGCAGUGGGAGCCUCUUUUAUGGGGUGACUGCGUACCUUUUGUAUAAUGGGUCAGCGACUUAUAUUCUGUAGCAAGGUUAACCGAAUAGGGGAGCCGAAGGGAAACCGAGUCUUAACUGGGCGUUAAGUUGCAGGGUAUAGACCCGAAACCCGGUGAUCUAGCCAUGGGCAGGUUGAAGGUUGGGUAACACUAACUGGAGGACCGAACCGACUAAUGUUGAAAAAUUAGCGGAUGACUUGUGGCUGGGGGUGAAAGGCCAAUCAAACCGGGAGAUAGCUGGUUCUCCCCGAAAGCUAUUUAGGUAGCGCCUCGUGAAUUCAUCUCCGGGGGUAGAGCACUGUUUCGGCAAGGGGGUCAUCCCGACUUACCAACCCGAUGCAAACUGCGAAUACCGGAGAAUGUUAUCACGGGAGACACACGGCGGGUGCUAACGUCCGUCGUGAAGAGGGAAACAACCCAGACCGCCAGCUAAGGUCCCAAAGUCAUGGUUAAGUGGGAAACGAUGUGGGAAGGCCCAGACAGCCAGGAUGUUGGCUUAGAAGCAGCCAUCAUUUAAAGAAAGCGUAAUAGCUCACUGGUCGAGUCGGCCUGCGCGGAAGAUGUAACGGGGCUAAACCAUGCACCGAAGCUGCGGCAGCGACGCUUAUGCGUUGUUGGGUAGGGGAGCGUUCUGUAAGCCUGUGAAGGUGUGCUGUGAGGCAUGCUGGAGGUAUCAGAAGUGCGAAUGCUGACAUAAGUAACGAUAAAGCGGGUGAAAAGCCCGCUCGCCGGAAGACCAAGGGUUCCUGUCCAACGUUAAUCGGGGCAGGGUGAGUCGACCCCUAAGGCGAGGCCGAAAGGCGUAGUCGAUGGGAAACAGGUUAAUAUUCCUGUACUUGGUGUUACUGCGAAGGGGGGACGGAGAAGGCUAUGUUGGCCGGGCGACGGUUGUCCCGGUUUAAGCGUGUAGGCUGGUUUUCCAGGCAAAUCCGGAAAAUCAAGGCUGAGGCGUGAUGACGAGGCACUACGGUGCUGAAGCAACAAAUGCCCUGCUUCCAGGAAAAGCCUCUAAGCAUCAGGUAACAUCAAAUCGUACCCCAAACCGACACAGGUGGUCAGGUAGAGAAUACCAAGGCGCUUGAGAGAACUCGGGUGAAGGAACUAGGCAAAAUGGUGCCGUAACUUCGGGAGAAGGCACGCUGAUAUGUAGGUGAAGCGACUUGCUCGUGGAGCUGAAAUCAGUCGAAGAUACCAGCUGGCUGCAACUGUUUAUUAAAAACACAGCACUGUGCAAACACGAAAGUGGACGUAUACGGUGUGACGCCUGCCCGGUGCCGGAAGGUUAAUUGAUGGGGUCAGCGCAAGCGAAGCUCUUGAUCGAAGCCCCGGUAAACGGCGGCCGUAACUAUAACGGUCCUAAGGUAGCGAAAUUCCUUGUCGGGUAAGUUCCGACCUGCACGAAUGGCGUAAUGAUGGCCAGGCUGUCUCCACCCGAGACUCAGUGAAAUUGAACUCGCUGUGAAGAUGCAGUGUACCCGCGGCAAGACGGAAAGACCCCGUGAACCUUUACUAUAGCUUGACACUGAACAUUGAGCCUUGAUGUGUAGGAUAGGUGGGAGGCUUUGAAGUGUGGACGCCAGUCUGCAUGGAGCCGACCUUGAAAUACCACCCUUUAAUGUUUGAUGUUCUAACGUUGACCCGUAAUCCGGGUUGCGGACAGUGUCUGGUGGGUAGUUUGACUGGGGCGGUCUCCUCCUAAAGAGUAACGGAGGAGCACGAAGGUUGGCUAAUCCUGGUCGGACAUCAGGAGGUUAGUGCAAUGGCAUAAGCCAGCUUGACUGCGAGCGUGACGGCGCGAGCAGGUGCGAAAGCAGGUCAUAGUGAUCCGGUGGUUCUGAAUGGAAGGGCCAUCGCUCAACGGAUAAAAGGUACUCCGGGGAUAACAGGCUGAUACCGCCCAAGAGUUCAUAUCGACGGCGGUGUUUGGCACCUCGAUGUCGGCUCAUCACAUCCUGGGGCUGAAGUAGGUCCCAAGGGUAUGGCUGUUCGCCAUUUAAAGUGGUACGCGAGCUGGGUUUAGAACGUCGUGAGACAGUUCGGUCCCUAUCUGCCGUGGGCGCUGGAGAACUGAGGGGGGCUGCUCCUAGUACGAGAGGACCGGAGUGGACGCAUCACUGGUGUUCGGGUUGUCAUGCCAAUGGCACUGCCCGGUAGCUAAAUGCGGAAGAGAUAAGUGCUGAAAGCAUCUAAGCACGAAACUUGCCCCGAGAUGAGUUCUCCCUGACUCUUUAAGGGUCCUGAAGGAACGUUGAAGACGACGACGUUGAUAGGCCGGGUGUGUAAGCGCAGCGAUGCGUUGAGCUAACCGGUACUAAUGAACCGUGAGGCUUAACCUU